RNAcentral lists this transfer RNA (73 nucleotides) under Simkaniaceae bacterium. RNAcentral's name for it is "tRNA-Ile". It matches the Rfam family "tRNA". Rfam says of the family: Transfer RNA (tRNA) molecules are approximately 80 nucleotides in length. Their secondary structure includes four short double-helical elements and three loops (D, anti-codon, and T loops). Further hydrogen bonds mediate the characteristic L-shaped molecular structure. tRNAs have two regions of fundamental functional importance: the anti-codon, which is responsible for specific mRNA codon recognition, and the 3' end, to which the tRNAs corresponding amino acid is attached (by aminoacyl-tRNA synthetases). tRNAs cope with the degeneracy of the genetic code in two manners: having more than one tRNA (with a specific anti-codon) for a particular amino acid; and 'wobble' base-pairing, i.e. permitting non-standard base-pairing at the 3rd anti-codon position. The record is from RNAcentral. Lineage: Bacteria; Pseudomonadati; Chlamydiota; Chlamydiia; Parachlamydiales; Simkaniaceae.
GGGGCAGUAGCUCAGUGGUUAGAGCCGCGGACUCAUAAUCCGUUGGUCGUAGGUUCAAGUCCUACCUGCCCCA